Molecule: ribosomal RNA, 253 nt
Filed under: uncultured bacterium
Lineage: Bacteria
Description: partial 16S ribosomal RNA
Rfam family: Bacterial small subunit ribosomal RNA
Source: RNAcentral
UACGAAGGGGGCUAGCGUUGCUCGGAAUCACUGGGCGUAAAGGGUGCGUAGGCGGGUCUUUAAGUCAGGGGUGAAAUCCUGGAGCUCAACUCCGGAACUGCCUUUGAUACUGAGGAUCUUGAGUUCGGGAGAGGUGAGUGGAACUGCGAGUGUAGAGGUGAAAUUCGUAGAUAUUCGGAAGAACACCAGUGGCGAAGGCGGCUCACUGGCCCGGUACUGACGCUGAGGUGCGAAAGCGUGGGGAGCAAACAGG